AUAGGGGAGCCGGAGGGAAACCGAGUCUUAAUUGGGCGUUAAGUUGCAGGGUAUAGACCCGAAACCCGGUGAUCUAGCCAUGGGCAGGUUGAAGGUUGGGUAACACUAACUGGAGGACCGAACCGACUAAUGUUGAAAAAUUAGCGGAUGACCUGUGGCUGGGGGUGAAAGGCCAAUCAAACCGGGAGAUAGCUGGUUCUCCCCGAAAGCUAUUUAGGUAGCGCCUCGUGAAUUCAUCUCCGGGGGUAGAGCACUGUUUCGGCUAGGGGGCCAUCCCGGCUUACCAACCCGAUGCAAACUGCGAAUACCGGAGAAUGUUAUCACGGGAGACACACGGCGGGUGCUAACGUCCGUCGUGAAGAGGGAAACAACCCAGACCGCCAGCUAAGGUCCCAAAGUCAUGGUUAAGUGGGAAACGAUGUGGGAAGGCCCAGACAGCCAGGAUGUUGGCUUAGAAGCAGCCAUCAUUUAAAGAAAGCGUAAUAGCUCACUGGUCGAGUCGGCCUGCGCGGAAGAUGUAACGGGGCUAAACCAUGCACCGAAGCUGCGGCAGCGACACUGUG
This 563-nucleotide ribosomal RNA is filed under the name Salmonella enterica subsp. enterica serovar Enteritidis. RNAcentral describes it as "partial 23S ribosomal RNA". It matches the Rfam family "Bacterial large subunit ribosomal RNA", at positions 657 to 1218 of the family's 2925-position model. Lineage: Bacteria; Pseudomonadati; Pseudomonadota; Gammaproteobacteria; Enterobacterales; Enterobacteriaceae. The record is from RNAcentral.